Molecule: long non-coding RNA, 226 nt
Filed under: Setaria italica (foxtail millet)
Lineage: Eukaryota; Viridiplantae; Streptophyta; Magnoliopsida; Poales; Poaceae
Description: long non-coding RNA (SITA_LNC006838)
Source: RNAcentral
ACUUUGGCUCAAAAACGAGUGGAGAUAGGGGUAAAACUGAGGAGAAACCAUCACUGCAAUUCUGCCAUAAUUUUCAGACAUUACACCAGAGGUAGCAAUGACAAUCCUACAUAGCAUCAGUUUCAACAUCCCAAAUACUCAACUCAAGCUAACCUAUUCCAUCACUGGCCAAAAUAUAGGUCGCCGAGGAGUAAAAACAAAAGAGAACCGCUCAACAACCAGCCAA